This is a non-coding RNA of Mycena leptocephala, 98 nucleotides long. Lineage: Eukaryota; Fungi; Basidiomycota; Agaricomycetes; Agaricales; Mycenaceae. The record is from the annotation of a GenBank genome assembly.
GCCUCCAUGGCUCAGUUGGUUAGCCUGCUGCAGCAACAGCCGUUCGAUGUGGGAGACGUCCCAUGGAGAGGUCGAGGGUUCGAUUCCCUCUGGAGGCA